GAAGCGGCAACAGCUCAAAUUUGAAAUCUGGCCCUUUCGGGGUCCGAGUUGUAAUUUGUAGAGAGUGUUUCGGGCGAGACCACGGUCUAAGUUCAUUGGAACAUGGCGUCAUAGAGGGUGAGAAUCCCGUAUGUGACUGUGGAUCGAGCCCAUGUGAAGCCUCUUCGACGAGUCGAGUUGUUUGGGAAUGCAGCUCAAAAUGGGUGGUAAAUUUCAUCUAAAGCUAAAUACUGGCUGGAGACCGAUAGCGCACAAGUAGAGUGAUCGAAAGAUGAAAAGCACUUUGGAAAGAGAGUCAAACAGUACGUGAAAUUGUUGAAAGGGAAGCGCUUGCAACCAGACCUGUCCGUAGGUGAUCAGCCGCUGUUCUCAGUGGUGCACUCGCUCUGCGAUCAGGCCAGCAUCGGUUCGGGCGGUCGGAUAAAGGCCUUGGGAAUGUAGCUUCCUUCGGGGAGUCUUAUAGCCCUCGGUGCAAUGCGGCCAGCCGGGACCGAGGACCGCGCUUCGGCUAGGAUGCUGGCGUAAUGGUUGUAAGCGACCCGUCUUGAAACACGGACCAAGGAGUCUAACAUCUAUGCGAGUGUUUGGGUGUUAAACCCAUGCGCGGAAUGAAAGUGAACGGAGGUGAGAACCCUUAAGGGCGCAUCAUCGACCGAUCCAGAUGUCUUCGGAUGGAUUUGAGUAUGAGCAUAGCUGUUGGGACCCGAAAGAUGGUGAACUAUGCCUGAAUAGGGUGAAGCCAGAGGAAACUCUGGUGGAGGCUCGCAGCGGUUCUGACGUGCAAAUCGAUCGU
RNAcentral lists this ribosomal RNA (793 nucleotides) under Hypogymnia physodes. RNAcentral describes it as "partial large subunit ribosomal RNA". It matches the Rfam family "Eukaryotic large subunit ribosomal RNA", at positions 95 to 905 of the family's 3401-position model. Lineage: Eukaryota; Fungi; Ascomycota; Lecanoromycetes; Lecanorales; Parmeliaceae. The record is from RNAcentral.